GAAUAAAAUAACCUCCGAGGGACUUAGAUUUAGACUUAGCAGUCAAAAGUGCAACAUCACUUAUUGAUCCAAAAUACUUGAUCAACAGAACAAGUUACCCUAAAGAUAAUAGUGCAACCCUAUUUUAGAGUCAAUAUUGACAAUACAGUUUACGACCUCGAUGUUGGAUCAGAACAUCCCGAUGGUUCAGCAAAGUUUCAUUUGUUCAACAAUUACAGUCCUGUGUGAUCUGAGUUCAGACCAGAGCAAUCCAGGUCGGUUUCUAUC
Molecule: non-coding RNA, 267 nt
Filed under: Felis catus (domestic cat)
Lineage: Eukaryota; Metazoa; Chordata; Mammalia; Carnivora; Felidae
Description: Bacterial large subunit ribosomal RNA
Rfam family: Bacterial large subunit ribosomal RNA
Source: Rfam by way of RNAcentral